Pan troglodytes (chimpanzee) is the source of this 1728-nucleotide long non-coding RNA. RefSeq lists it as uncharacterized. The transcript has 8 exons. Lineage: Eukaryota; Metazoa; Chordata; Mammalia; Primates; Hominidae. The record is from RefSeq and is a predicted model, not a curated record.
AAUCUCCUAUAAUGAAAUAAGAGAAGUAAAAAAAAAAAAAGAAAAGAAAAGAAAAAGAAAAGAAACUCCUUGUUAAAAUUACUUGGCAUUAUUGUUCUCCAUUAUGUAAAUGGGUUUCUCUGCUCCAAGUUCAAAAAAAAGCCAGUUCUAGCCUCAGAGGGACCCCGUACUGUUGGCUGAGUAAAACCAUUCAAACCCCUCUUUGCUUUUAUUUAUGCAGAUGGCAAGGAUAUUGCUAUUGGAUCAUAGGAUGUGAACAGUGGUGUUGAGAUUACCCUCAUUUGGCUGAUGAUGUCAUUGAGGCCCAGAGAAGGUAAGUAAUGUAGCAAGGUUCCAGACUAGUAAGUGGCAGAGAUGGGUUUUGAGCCCUAUUCUUCUACAUUGUGUGCAAUAGCUCAUAUCAAGGUCACUAAAGCUGAAGACUGAAUUAUUUAUUCAAAUACUGCCAUCAUGCACCAAUAUUCUCAACAGGUGGGACACUUGGCAGGGCCUGGCUUUGGGGCUAACUUCUGCAGCUCUUUUGAUCGCCCCCACCUUACAGUUUUCGGCACAGAGCACUGUGUAGCUGGCACUUCUCUACUGGCCCGAAUGAGAAAACUUCCUCAGAGCAAAAUUUCAAGCGCCAAAUAAGAUUCAUGUUUACUGUGAAGUGAUUGCUGCUUUUUAAAUGCUUAUCAGAAGCCGAAGGACAAACUCAGUAGGUUGAUUCAUGCUGAGCUCGACUACCUCCGUGAGAAAUGACUCUCCUGUAGGGCUCGAUGACCUUCAUGUCAAUGCGCUGCUCUUGUUCUCCAAUCACCACUGUCCUCCAAAGCCGGUUGUCCUCCCGUUCCUCUUCGGCCGUAUAUUCUGGAAUAGACUCUGACUCUUGGCCAGAAUCUUUGUUGGCUGUGGGAUCUUCUGGAAACAAAGCACAGUGCAGGGCUGAAGGAGCAAGACCUCCACAGUGCAGCUAAACAGCCAAAUGCUUCAUUCAUAAUUGCCAAAACUUGGAAGCAGCCAAGAUGUCCUUCAGUAGGUGAAUGGAAAAUAACCUGUGACUUGUCCAGACAAUGGAAUAUUAUUCGGCAUUAAAAAGAAAUGAUCUGUCAAGCCAUGAAAGGAUAUGGAGGAACCUUAAUUGCAGUCUCCCGCAAGUCAGGAAAACUGGAUAAAAAGAGGCCUAAAUGUGAGCAAGAGCUAUCAUGUUUGGCUUCAAGUCCUGACAACUCUGUAUAUGAUCUUCAGUGCCCUUUACCUGGCCGAAGUAUCCUCCCAGGCUUGGCUGAGAAUACAUGAUUCAGGAUCUUGGUAUGAUCCUGGAGUUGGUGUAAUGCAAGAGAGUGACCCUGGAAUACAGUGAGAGUCAUUGUCUACUAUGUGCCGAGGAUAUAGAGGAACAAAACAGACCCGUCUCAUUCUCGUGGUGGAGUUGGGAUGGUGGAGCUAAUACAAUGACCCCUACCUUCAAGAACUCAGUGCUGCUCCCCUGGAUAGAGGUGAGGAAAAUGAGGCAGAGAAUGAAACAUUUCCAUCUGGAUGACCAAACCGUCAGCUCCUAAAGGGCCGCAGAGGCUGAGAGCGCUGCUGGCAGCCGGCCCUCUGUGGACAUUUGCUGAAUAAACAGAAGAUAUGUGCACCAGUGUUCGGUCCUUUGGGUGAUACCAUCCCAUUUUUAUUUUCUGGAUUUCCUUCCUGAUGGGUCCAUUGUUCCUCAUUUUCCUCUAGCAUUAAAUUCCUUUAUCUUUU